Molecule: ribosomal RNA, 424 nt
Filed under: uncultured prokaryote
Description: bacterial SSU rRNA
Rfam family: Bacterial small subunit ribosomal RNA
Source: RNAcentral
UCGGGAAUCUUCGGCAAUGGGCGCAAGCCUGACCGAGCUACGCCGCGUGCGAGAUGAAGGCCUUCGGGUUGUAAAUCGCUGUCAGUGGGGAGGAAAUGCCGGUGGUUUCUCCCAUCGUUUGGACCUAUCCGCAGAGGAAGGACGGGCUAAGUUCGUGCCAGAAGCCGCGGUAAGCCGAACCGUCCAACCGUUAUUCGGAAUCACUGGGCUUAAAGGGUGCGUAGGCGGCCCGGAAAGUUGGGUGUGAAAGCCCUCGGCUCAACCGAGGAACAGCGCCCAAAACUGCCGGGCUCGAGGAAGACAGAGGUGAGCGGAACUUAGGGUGGAGCGGUGAAAUGCGUUGAUAUCCUAAGGAGCACCAGUAGCGAAAGCGGCUCACUGGGUCUUUUCUGACGCUGAUGCACGAAAGCUAGGGGAGCAAAGA